This 446-nucleotide ribosomal RNA is filed under the name uncultured bacterium. Its description in RNAcentral is "partial 16S ribosomal RNA". It matches the Rfam family "Bacterial small subunit ribosomal RNA", at positions 338 to 795 of the family's 1533-position model. The record is from RNAcentral.
CCUACGGGAGGCAGCAGUCGAGAAUCAUUCACAAUGGGGGAAACCCUGAUGGUGCGACGCCGCGUGGGGGAAUGAAGGUCUUCGGAUUGUAAACCCCUGUCAUGUGGGAGCAAAUUAAAAAGAUCGUACCACAAGAGGAAGAGACGGCUAACUCUGUGCCAGCAGCCGCGGUAAUACAGAGGUCUCAAGCGUUGUUCGGAAUCACUGGGCGUAAGGCGUGCGUAGGCUGUUUCGUAAGUCGUGUGUGAAAGGCGCGGGCUCAACCCGCGGACGGCACAUGAUACUGCGAGACUAGAGUAAUGGAGGGGGAACCGGAAUUCUCGGUGUAGCAGUGAAAUGCGUAGAUAUCGAGAGGAACACUCGUGGCGAAGGCGGGUUCCUGGACAUUAACUGACGCUGAGGCACGAAGGCCAGGGGAGCGAAAGGGAUUAGAUACCCUUGUAGUC